Molecule: small nuclear RNA, 23 nt
Filed under: Phaeodactylum tricornutum CCAP 1055/1
Lineage: Eukaryota; Bacillariophyta; Bacillariophyceae; Surirellales; Neidiaceae
Description: snRNA PTsRNA00022a
Source: RNAcentral
UGGAAUCCCGACUGUUGUUCUUU